Molecule: long non-coding RNA, 416 nt
Filed under: Calidris pugnax (ruff)
Lineage: Eukaryota; Metazoa; Chordata; Aves; Charadriiformes; Scolopacidae
Description: lncRNA (ENSCPUG00000007516.1)
Source: RNAcentral
AGAGUCCCCUUUGCUCCCUGCAGAUGCUGCCCAGGAUCACCACCAAGAAGAAGGGGGCUGUGGACAACAAGGCUGCGGAGGAGGAAGAUGAGGAAGAGGACGACUGGUGGAGCAAAUUCUACGCGGCCAUGGGGGACAAGGCAAAGAGCCGGAGGAGGAACAACAGGGACAGACUGAAGAUCUACAGCUGCGAGCUGGAGGCGGUGCCCGAAUUCGAGGGGCUGCAGGAUUUCUGUCAGACCUUCCCCCUCUACCAACCGGGGGGGCACCCCACGCCGGGGGAGGACCCUGUGGGCGAGUUCAAGGUGGGUGAGAGCCCCUUGGGGGGACCCCAGAGCUGGGGUGGGGGCACCUCGGGGUGCACAGCCAGGUGGGUCUCCCAGGGGCUUUUCUGUGUCUACCCCCUGCCCGAGGAC